GAUGAACGCUGGCGGCGUGCCUAAUACAUGCAAGUCGAGCGAACGGACGAGAAGCUUGCUUCUCUGAUGUUAGCGGCGGACGGGUGAGUAACACGUGGAUAACCUACCUAUAAGACUUGGAUAACUUCGGGAAACCGGAGCUAAUACCGGAUGAUAUUUUGAACCGCAUGGUUCAAAAGUGAAAGACGUUCUUGCUGUCACUUAUAGAUGGAUCCGCGCUGCAUUAGCUAGUUGGUAAGGUAACGGCUUACCAAGGCAACGAUGCAUAGCCGACCUGAGAGGGUGAUCGGCAACACUGGAACUGAGACACGGUCCAGACUCCUACGGGAGGCAGCAGUAGGGAAUCUUCCGCAAUGGGCGAAAGCCUGACGGAGCAACGCCGCGUGAGUGAUGAAGGUCUUCGGAUCGUAAAACUCUGUUAUUAGGGAAGAACAUAUGUGUAAGUAACUGUGCACAUCUUGACGGUACCUAAUCAGAAAGCCACGGCUAACUACGUG
RNAcentral lists this ribosomal RNA (497 nucleotides) under uncultured bacterium. RNAcentral describes it as "partial 16S ribosomal RNA". It matches the Rfam family "Bacterial small subunit ribosomal RNA", at positions 28 to 507 of the family's 1533-position model. The record is from RNAcentral.